CCUACGGGAGGCAGCAGUGAGGAAUAUUGGUCAAUGGACGAGAGUCUGAACCAGCCAAGUAGCGUGAAGGAUGACUGCCCUAUGGGUUGUAAACUUCUUUUAUAUGGGAAUAAAAUGUUCCACGUGUGGGAUUUUGUAUGUACCAUAUGAAUAAGGAUCGGCUAACUCCGUGCCAGCAGCCGCGGUAAUACGGAGGAUCCGAGCGUUAUCCGGAUUUAUUGGGUUUAAAGGGAGCGUAGGUGGAUUGUUAAGUCUGUUGUGAAAGUUUGCGGUUCAACCGUAAAAUUGCAGUUGAAACUGGCAGUCUUGAGUACAGUAGAGGUGGGCGGAAUUCGUGGUGUAGCGGUGAAAUGCUUAGAUAUCACGAAGAACUCCGAUUGCGAAGGCAGUUCACUGGACUGCAACUGACACUGAGGCUCGAAAGUGUGGGUAUCAAACAGGAUUAGAUACCCGUUUAGUC
This 460-nucleotide ribosomal RNA is filed under the name uncultured bacterium. RNAcentral's name for it is "partial 16S ribosomal RNA". It matches the Rfam family "Bacterial small subunit ribosomal RNA", at positions 338 to 795 of the family's 1533-position model. The record is from RNAcentral.